ACAACAUUCAAAUUGGGAUCAAGAGGUUAACCAGCAGCACACUUCUCUUCUGGGUGGCCGUCCGUUCGGUAAGUUCAUUCGGUAAAAAGUCAAAUAUACGAAUAGGGGUAUACGAACAGGCAAUUCCACAAAAGGAAGGCAAACUAGACGAACCAGCAAUAAUAGUUAUACAGAUGGGUCUGUUACACACCCCUUCGACAGCCCCCCUACCGUAUCCCUGAAACAGUCCAAGAAGGAAUGCGGAAGGAAAUACAGGAGAUGACUCAGUUAGGAGUUAUUGAACCCUCUGACAGCCCUUGGGCUUCGCCUGUAGUUCUGUUGCCUAAAAGAGAUGGAACCACACGGUUCUGCGUGGACUACAGGCAACUCAAUGAGAGGACUACCACUGAUGCCUACCCAAUGCCCGGGGUAGACAAACUGCUAGAUUGCAUAGCCAGGGGACGUUAUCUAACUACAAUAGACCUGUGUAAAGGCUAUUGGCAGAUUGCCCUGGCCGGGGAUGCCAUCCCCAAGUCGGCAUUUGUUACCAGUUUGGCCUGUACCAGUUUAAGGUCAUGCCAUUCGGGAUGAAAAAUGCCCUGGCUACCUUCCAGCGUAUGGUGGAUAUGCUUCCCGAUGGAUUCCAGGAUUUUGCCUGUGCAUACCUGGAUGACAUUGCGAUCUACAGUGGGUCUUGGGAAGAACACUUGGUUCACGUAGUGGUGGUACUGGACAAGAUUUGGGCCACAGGCCUGACCUUGAAGUUGGAGAAGUGCCAUUUAGGUAUGGCUGAGGUGCAGUCUUGGGACACAGAGUAGGGUGUGGAAACCAGAGACCAGAGCCAGCAAAGGUAGAGGCGGUAGCUAACUGGCCCACACCCCGCACUAAGACUCAGGUACUAGCCUUCUUGGGGACUGCAGAGUACUACCAAUGUUUUGUCCCUGACUAUAGUGCUAUAGCCAAACCCUUGACUGACCUGAUGAAGAAGAAUUUGCCUAGGCAGGUCCUGUGGUCUCCAGCUUGUCAAGCCGCGUUUCAAGCACUUAAGUAAGCUCUUGUUAAUGCCCCUGUCUUGGCUGCCCCAGUACCUAACAAACGUUUCCUUGUUCACACAGACGCUUCCAGGGGUGGGCUGGGAAGGGGGGCAGGGAGGCAAUUGCCCCCCAGGCCACCCUAAACCAAGGGCCGCCCGCACCCAGCAAAAAUAGGAAAAAUCUGAAUCCCCUGCCUCUGGCCCUGCCUCUGGCUGAGGACUCAGAUUUUUCAACUUAACUCCCUCUCCCUGCAGCUUGCAGUC
Non-coding RNA from Pelobates cultripes (western spadefoot toad), 1276 nucleotides. Lineage: Eukaryota; Metazoa; Chordata; Amphibia; Anura; Pelobatidae. The record is from the annotation of a GenBank genome assembly.